Molecule: unclassified non-coding RNA, 240 nt
Filed under: soil metagenome
Description: partial contains 5.8S ribosomal RNA, internal transcribed spacer 2, and large subunit ribosomal RNA
Source: RNAcentral
AACGCACGAGACCUGCGGACCUGCGGAAGGAUCAUUACUGAGUGAGGGCCCCUCGGGGUCCAACCUCCCACCCGUGUUUAACGAACCUUUGUUGCUUCGGCGGGCCCGCCUCACGGCCGCCGGGGGGCUCCUGCCCCCGGGCCCGCGCCCGCCGAAGCCCCCCCUUGAACGCUGUCUGAAGUUUGCAGUCUGAGAAACUAGCUAAAUUAGUUAAAACUUUUAACAACGGAUCUCUAGAUC